Long non-coding RNA from Ochotona curzoniae (black-lipped pika), 824 nucleotides. RefSeq lists it as uncharacterized. The transcript is spliced from 2 exons. Lineage: Eukaryota; Metazoa; Chordata; Mammalia; Lagomorpha; Ochotonidae. The record is from RefSeq and is a predicted model, not a curated record.
CGCGGCCAGGACAGAGGGCCCGCCAGCCAGGUUAUCAGGGCUGCCCCCGGCCCUCGGCUCAGACGCUCCUGAGAAUGCGAGUCUGACUCCAGAGGACGGCGGCCCGCAGUCUCCCGGACACUCCGAGCCACCUGAUUUGGCUCGGCCUGGGAUCUGUCCUGGGGGCCUCCAGCUUUGGUGCUCACUCCAGAAGGCCCUCAACGACCUAGGCAGCAUCACCUGCUGCCUACUAAGAUGUGCAGCAGCAUGGAAUUGGAAGCUGGGAGCUGAACCCAGGCACCCAAACAAGGGACACAGGCCCAACACCCCUGCAGUGUCACCAUUUCCGCUUCCAGCCUCUUCCCUGACGGCUCCACACAACCUCCCAUCACGCGGACAUGCCACCACUUACACCAUCGCUCCCAGACUGCCGGCUUCACACGAGUCCCUGGUGCUCCCUCCGAGCGCUCGGCUUCAGCUCUGAGUGAGCACCAGCACCCUCCCCCCCGUGACACGCCUCCACACUCCAGCGCGGCCUCUGCUGCAAGGAAACUUACCGCUUCUUCGGGAGCUUAAUUUUUGCAAUGUAGCUCAGACAGUAGUUGAUUAAAUCCUGUACCAGGGCCUCACCCAGGUGACCUUGUAUAUUCUAGAUAAAGAGAGAAAACACUGGAGUUACUGGAUUUAGCAGGGGACAUUCCACAAGAGCCAGCUAAGGCCCUCUGCCACUACUAUCCAACGUCAUCACACUGACACAGGGAGACGAUGACCGACCCGACCACUUCCUUCUCAUUUUCCUCUGGUUGAAAACACUCAGCAAAUCAGAAAAGCUUUAGUCAAAAGCA